RNAcentral lists this ribosomal RNA (178 nucleotides) under uncultured bacterium. RNAcentral describes it as "partial 16S ribosomal RNA". It matches the Rfam family "Bacterial small subunit ribosomal RNA", at positions 1325 to 1500 of the family's 1533-position model. The record is from RNAcentral.
GCUGGAAUUGCUAGUAAUGGCAGGUCAGCAUACUGCCGUGAAUACGUUCCCGGGCCCUUGUACACACCGCCCGUCGCACCAUGAGAGUUGGGAAUACCCGAAGCCUGUGAGCUAACUUUAUAAGGAGCAGCAGUCGAAGGUAGAAUCAAUGAUUGGGGUGAAGUCGUAACAAGGUAGC